This 796-nucleotide ribosomal RNA is filed under the name uncultured Sphingobacteriales bacterium. RNAcentral's name for it is "bacterial SSU rRNA". It matches the Rfam family "Bacterial small subunit ribosomal RNA", at positions 8 to 796 of the family's 1533-position model. Lineage: Bacteria; Pseudomonadati; Bacteroidota; Sphingobacteriia; Sphingobacteriales. The record is from RNAcentral.
AGAGUUUGAUCAUGGCUCAGGACGAACGCUGGCGGCGCGCUUAACACAUGCAAGUCGAGCGAGAACCGGGGCUUCGGCCCCGGGGACAGCGGCGAACGGGUGAGUAACACGUGGAUAACCUGCCCUCGGCACCGGGAUAGCCCGGGGAAACCCGGAUUAAUACCGGAUGGCCCUUCCGGCUCACGAGCCGGUCGGAAAAGGUAGCUUCGGCCUCCGGCCGAGGAUGGGUCCGCGGCGGAUUAGCUCGUUGGUGGGGUAACGGACCACCAAGGCUAUGAUUGGUAGGGGUUCUGAGAGGAAGGUCCCCCACACUGGUACUGAGAUACGGACCAGACUCCUACGGGAGGCAGCAGUAGGGAAUAUUGGGCAAUGGAGGAGACUCUGACCCAGCCAUGCCGCGUGCAGGAAGAAGGCCUUCUGGGUUGUAAACUGCUUUUGAUCGGGAGCAAAAAGUCCAUGCGUGGAAUAUUGAGAGUACCGAUAGAAUAAGCACCGGCUAACUCCGUGCCAGCAGCCGCGGUAAUACGGAGGGUGCAAGCGUUGUCCGGAUUUAUUGGGUUUAAAGGGUGCGUAGGCGGCCCUGUAAGUCAGUGGUGAAAUACUUGAGCUUAACUGAAGGAUUGCCAUUGAUACUGUAGGGCUUGAGUACAGUUGAGGUAGGCGGAAUUGAUGGUGUAGCGGUGAAAUGCAUAGAUACCAUCAAGAACACCGAUUGCGAAGGCAGCUUACUAAGUUGUAACUGACGCUGAUGCACGAAAGCGUGGGGAUCGAACAGGAUUAGAUACCCUGGUAGUCC